GACGCAUAACGUGUUGUUGAGGGCGCGGUGUGAGCCAGGUUCCAGGGGCGGCCGGGGCUUCCGGAAAAGGGCGGCUUCUACUGCUGCUCCGACUCUGGGUUUCUGAUCCAACGUUCCCGCUGCUCCGUUCGCGGCUCCAGCCAGCUUAGUGACCUGUUAAGAAGAUGGCACCAUGAUUGUAAUGCAAUGAAUGGAUGUGGGAGAAAUGAGACAGACAGUCAUUUGGCUGGAGUAUUGCCAACCCACGGUUCUCCAGGACUGGUUCAACUGGAAGGCCAAUUAUUCUAAUCCUUUCUCGUG
Molecule: long non-coding RNA, 300 nt
Filed under: Piliocolobus tephrosceles (Ugandan red Colobus)
Lineage: Eukaryota; Metazoa; Chordata; Mammalia; Primates; Cercopithecidae
Description: lncRNA (ENSPTEG00000029536.1)
Source: RNAcentral